This 460-nucleotide ribosomal RNA is filed under the name uncultured bacterium. Its description in RNAcentral is "partial 16S ribosomal RNA". It matches the Rfam family "Bacterial small subunit ribosomal RNA", at positions 338 to 795 of the family's 1533-position model. The record is from RNAcentral.
CCUACGGGAGGCAGCAGUGAGGAAUAUUGGUCAAUGGGCUUACGCCUGAACCAGCCAAGUCGCGUGAGGGAAGACUGCCCUAUGGGUUGUAAACCUCUUUUGUCAGGGAGCAACGCCGGCUACGUGUAGCCGGACUGAGAGUACCUGAAGAAAAAGCAUCGGCUAACUCCGUGCCAGCAGCCGCGGUAAUACGGAGGAUGCGAGCGUUAUCCGGAUUUAUUGGGUUUAAAGGGUGCGUAGGCGGAAUGCCAAGUCAGCGGUAAAAGCGCGGGGCUCAACCUCGUUCAGCCGUUGAAACUGGCGUUCUUGAGUGGGCGAGAGGUAUGCGGAAUGCGUGGUGUAGCGGUGAAAUGCAUAGAUAUCACGCAGAACUCCGAUUGCGAAGGCAGCAUACCGGCGCCCAACUGACGCUGAAGCACGAAAGCGUGGGUAUCGAACAGGAUUAGAUACCCCGGUAGUC